AGUGAACGCUGGCGGUAGGCCUGACACAUGCAAGUCGAACGGCAGCACAGUAAGAGCUUGCUCUUACGGGUGGCGAGUGGCGGACGGGUGAGGAAUACAUCGGAAUCUACUUUUUCUUGGGGGAUAACGUAGGGACACUUACGCUAAUACCGCAUACGACCUACGGGUGAAAUCAGCGGAUCUUCGGCCCUUGCGCGAUUGAAUGAGCCGAUGUCGGAUUAGCUAGUUGGCGGGGUAAAGGCCCACCAAGGCGACGAUCCGUAGCUGGUCUGAGAGGAUGAUCAGCCACACUGGAACUGAGACACGGUCCAGACUCCUACGGGAGGCAGCAGUGGGGAAUAUUGGACAAUGGGCGCAAGCCUGAUCCAGCCAUACCGCGUGGGUGAAGAAGGCCUUCGGGUUGUAAAGCCCUUUUGUUGGGAAAGAAAAGCAGCAGGUUAAUACCCCGCUGUUCUGACGGUACCAAAAGAAUAAGCACCGGCUAACUUCGUG
RNAcentral lists this ribosomal RNA (492 nucleotides) under uncultured bacterium. RNAcentral describes it as "partial 16S ribosomal RNA". It matches the Rfam family "Bacterial small subunit ribosomal RNA", at positions 29 to 507 of the family's 1533-position model. The record is from RNAcentral.